RNAcentral lists this ribosomal RNA (2161 nucleotides) under human gut metagenome. RNAcentral's name for it is "bacterial LSU rRNA". It matches the Rfam family "Bacterial large subunit ribosomal RNA", at positions 242 to 2441 of the family's 2925-position model. The record is from RNAcentral.
AGUAGCGGCGAGCGAACCCGGAGGAGCCCAGCUUUUGAUAGUACGAACUUUAGCCGAAAGGUCCUGGAAAGGCCUGCUAUAGUGGGUGAUAGCCCCGUAGGCGAAAGAGUUCGUAUGGUACUAAGGAAGCGAGAAGUAGAGCGGGACACGUGGAAUCCUGUUCGAAGACGGGGGGACCAUCCUCCAAGGCUAAAUACUCGUGAUCGACCGAUAGUGAACCAGUACCGUGAGGGAAAGGCGAAAAGAACCCCGGGAGGGGAGUGAAAUAGAACCUGAAACCGCAUGCAUACAAACAGUAGGAGCCUCGUCAGAGGUGACUGCGUACCUUUUGCAUAAUGGGUCAGCGACUUACAUUCUGUGGCGAGCUUAACCGAAUAGGGGAGGCGCAGCGAAAGCGAGUUCGAAAUGAGCGUCCAGUCGCAGGGUGUAGACCCGAAACCAGAUGAGCUAUCCAUGGCCAGGUUGAAGGUGUGGUAACACACACUGGAGGACCGAACCGACUAGUGUUGCAAAAUUAGCGGAUGAGCUGUGGAUAGGGGUGAAAGGCCAAACAAAUCUGGAGAUAGCUGGUUCUCCCCGAAAACUAUUGAGGUAGUGCCUCGUGUGUCGCUCCAGGGGGUAGAGCACUGUUUUGGCUAGGGGGACAUGGAGUCUUACCAAACCAAGGCAAACUCCGAAUACCUGGAAGCGUAAGCACGGGAGACAGAGCACCGGGUGCUAACGUCCGGACUCAAAAGGGAAACAACCCAGACCGCCGGCUAAGGUCCCCAAUAACAGCUAAGUGGAAAACGAAGUGGAAAGGCCGUGACAACCAGGAAGUUGGCUUAGAAGCAGCCAUCCUUCAAAGAAAGCGUAAUAGCUCACUGGUCGAGUCCUUCUGCGCGGAAGAUGUAACGGGGCUAAGCUGUUAACCGAAGCCGCGGAUGCACUGAUUAUUCAGUGCGUGGUAGGGGAGCGUUCUGUAAGUCUGCGAAGGCGGUUCGAGAGGACUGCUGGAGAUAUCAGAAGUGCGAAUGCUGACAUGAGUAACGUUAAAGCAGGUGAAAAGCCUGCUCGCCGUAAGCCCAAGGAUUCCUGCUCUACGUUCAUCGGAGCAGGGUGAGUCGGCUCCUAAGGUCAGGCCGAAAGGCGUAGCCGAUGGGAAUCAGGUUAAUAUUCCUGAACCUGCGUCAGAUGCGAUGGGGGGACGGAGCAUGAAAGAUCAUCCGGGUGUUGGAUGUCCCGGUUGACGAGCGUAGGAGGUCUGCAGGCAAAUCCGCAGACGCAUCUCCAAGGCAAAGACACGUGCCGCCACGGCGGCGAAGUGAUCGGAAGUGCUUCCAAGAAAAGCCUCUAAGCACCAGUCUGACGCGGACCGUACCGCAAACCGACACUGGUGGGCGAGCUGAAUAUGCUCAGGCGCUUGAGAGAACUCGGGAGAAGGAACUCGGCAAAUUGACACCGUAACUUCGGAAGAAGGUGUGCCGUAGUAGCGUGAGAGGAGAGACACCUUGAGCGUGAAUCGGUCUCAGAGAAUAGGUGGCUGCGACUGUUUAUUAAAAACACAGCACUCUGCAAAGUCGAAAGACGACGUAUAGGGUGUGAUGCCUGCCCGGUGCUGGAAGAUUAAUUGAUGGGGUGAGAGCCCUUGAUCGAAGUCCCAGUAAACGGCGGCCGUAACUAUAACGGUCCUAAGGUAGCGAAAUUCCUUGUCGGGUAAGUUCCGACCUGCACGAAUGGCAUAACGAUGGCCACACUGUCUCCUCCCGAGACUCAGUGAAGUUGAAAUGUUUGUGAUGAUGCAAUCUACCCGCGGCUAGACGGAAAGACCCCAUGAACCUUUACUGCAGCUUUGCAUUGAACUGUGAACCGAUUUGUGUAGGAUAGGUGGGAGGCAGAGAAGAGGCCACGCCAGUGGUCUUGGAGCCGACCUUGAAAUACCACCCUGAUUUGUUUGCGGUUCUAACCACGGACAGUGAUCCUGUCUUGGGACCGUGCAUGGUAGGCAGUUUGACUGGGGCGGUCUCCUCCUAAAGGGUAACGGAGGAGUACGAAGGUACGCUAGGUACGGUCGGAAAUCGUGCUGAUAGUGCAAUGGCAAAAGCGUGCUUGACUGCGAGAGCAACAACUCGAGCAGAUGCGAAAGCAGGUCAUAGUGAUCCGGUGGCUCUGAAUGGAAGGG